GGGCCCGUGGUCUAGCUUGGUAGGAUGCGGGACACGUAAAGCCCGACUCGGGACCCAGGCGAGAACUCCCGUGGUCCGGGGUUCAAAUCCCCGCGGGCCCA
Molecule: transfer RNA, 101 nt
Filed under: Desulfurococcaceae archaeon AG1
Lineage: Archaea; Thermoproteati; Thermoproteota; Thermoprotei; Desulfurococcales; Desulfurococcaceae
Description: tRNA-Thr
Rfam family: tRNA
About the family: Transfer RNA (tRNA) molecules are approximately 80 nucleotides in length. Their secondary structure includes four short double-helical elements and three loops (D, anti-codon, and T loops).
Source: RNAcentral